This 1032-nucleotide unclassified non-coding RNA is filed under the name Hevea brasiliensis (rubber tree). Lineage: Eukaryota; Viridiplantae; Streptophyta; Magnoliopsida; Malpighiales; Euphorbiaceae. The record is from RNAcentral.
AAGCUCAGGUCUUUGCAGGCAUCCAUUGAUAAUUAGCUUCAUUUUUCAUUUGGGAUUCAUGAAUUUCUUUCACUUGCUUAAUAAUCCAAUUUCUUGUUUCCAAAUCAAAGAGAAGAAUACAAGCAAAUACAGAGGAGAUAAAAUACCUCUAAAGCAUAUAACUGUUCUUCUAUUCAAGCUUGCUUAUCCUUGAUGGGGGCCUUGAACAGGUAACGGAAAACCCAAGCAGCCAAAGUUGCUCCAGCAAAAGGGCAGAUCCAAUAAACAUAAAACAACUCCCAGGUGUUAUGCCAAUUGUUUAUAUAUGCCCAUCCAUAGGCAUUGGCAGGGUUCAAGGAAGGCCCUGUAUAUUGCCUACCAGAAACAACCAAUCCCACAGUAACCACAGCCACCAUCCAAACCUUCAAUAACAAGUUCUUGGGACCUUUAACCAUAACAAGAAGCAUAGCAAGGCAAAAAACAAAAGUCAACGUCCCUUCUGCAACUGCUCCUGUAUGCAAAUCCACCUUCAAAGAAGGACCCUUGAGCAGAUGCUUGUAUUUGCUAGGCAUAGCUUGUAAGAUUGCCUUGGCUCCACCAACCCCUCCAGCCGCCUGAGCAGGAAAUCGCACGGCCAUGGACAUGAGAGACGCAUCAGGUUUAAUCCCAGCAGCAUAAAAGGAUAUAGUUGCGGUGGGAUUGAAGCUGGCACCACCCAAGGCAGCUCCUAUCAAGCUGAAAGUUAGCACAAAACAAGUGGCUACAUUUAUAGUAAUGAAAAGACCUGCUACUGACAUGGCUUCUACACCUAUAUAUGCUGCUACGGCGGAGGCCAAAAUUCCCAGAAGUGGCAUGCUAAAUACCCACAUGGAAGUCAAAAUUGCAUCUCCUAUGGCUGCUUUGAUCACACCCAUGGUGGUGUAUCUCUCUAUUUCUCUUGGACUGCAAUAUUAAACUGUUUUAUCUCUUGGGUGUUUGUUUGUGCAGUCCUGAGGCAGAAAAGAAACAAGCAAAGGUUAGCUGUACAAGACAAAACCAAAAGACACUCGCCGG